UACGUAGGUGGCAAGCGUUAUCCGGAUUUAUUGGGCGUAAAGGGAACGCAGGCGGUCUUUUAAGUCUGAUGUGAAAGCCUUCGGCUUAACCGGAGUAGUGCAUUGGAAACUGGGAGACUUGAGUGCAGAUGAGGAGAGUGGAACUCCAUGUGUAGCGGUGAAAUGCGUAGAUAUAUGGAAGAACACCAGUGGCGAAAGCGGCUCUCUGGUCUGUAACUGACGCUGAGGUUCGAAAGCGUGGGUAGCAAACAGG
RNAcentral lists this ribosomal RNA (253 nucleotides) under uncultured bacterium. Its description in RNAcentral is "partial 16S ribosomal RNA". It matches the Rfam family "Bacterial small subunit ribosomal RNA", at positions 524 to 776 of the family's 1533-position model. The record is from RNAcentral.